RNAcentral lists this ribosomal RNA (756 nucleotides) under uncultured Sebacina. RNAcentral's name for it is "partial 28S ribosomal RNA". It matches the Rfam family "Eukaryotic large subunit ribosomal RNA", at positions 216 to 962 of the family's 3401-position model. The record is from RNAcentral. Lineage: Eukaryota; Fungi; Basidiomycota; Agaricomycetes; Sebacinales; Sebacinaceae.
GAAUCCCGUAUGUGGCACGGACUCCCGUUACUCUGCGAUACACUCUCAACGAGUCGAGUUGUUUGGGAAUGCAGCUCCAAAUGGGUGGUAAAUGCCAUCUAAAGCUAAAUAUUGGCGAGAGACCGAUAGCAAACAAGUACCGUGAGGGAAAGAUGAAAAGCACUUUGGAAAGAGAGUGAAACAGUACGUGAAAUUGUUGAAAGGGAAACGCUUGAAGUCAGUCAUGCCCUUUGGGAUUCAGCCUUGCUUCUGCUUGGUUUACUUCUCUUUGGGUGGGUCAACAUCAGUUUGGGUCGGAGGAGAAAGACUUGGGGAAGGUGGCAGCAUUCGUGCUGUGUUAUAGCCCCUUGUUGUAUACUUCGAUUUGGACUGAGGACCGCAGCACGCCUUUGGCCGGGGCUCGCCCACGUACGUGCUUAGGAUGUUGGCAUAAUGGCUUUAAGCGACCCGUCUUGAAACACGGACCAAGGAGUCUAACAUGUGCGCGAGUGUUUGAGUGUUAAACUCAGACGCGAAAUGAAAGUGAAAGGUUGGGAACACUUAUGUGUGCACCGACGCCCGGAGCUGACCUUCUGUGACGCAUCUGCGGUAGAGCGUAUAUGUUGGGACCCGAAAGAUGGUGAACUAUGCCUGAAUAGGGUGAAGCCAGAGGAAACUCUGGUGGAGGCUCGUAGCGAUUCUGACGUGCAAAUCGAUCGUCAAAUUUGGGUAUAGGGGCGAAAGACUAAUCGAACCAUCUAGUAGCUGGUUCCUGCC